GAUGAACGCUAGCGGCAGGCUUAACACAUGCAAGUCGAGGGGUAUAGUUCUUCGGAAUUAGAGACCGGCGCACGGGUGCGUAACGCGUAUGCAAUCUACCUUUCACAGAGGGAUAGCCCCAGAGAAAUUUGGAUUAAUACCUCAUAGUAUAGCAGUUUCGCAUGAAACCACUAUUAAAGUCACAACGGUGAAAGAUGAGCAUGCGUCCCAUUAGCUAGUUGGUAAGUAACGGCUUACCAAGGCAACGAUGGGUAGGGGUCCUGAGAGGGAGAUCCCCCCACACUGGUACUGAGACACGGACCAGACUCCUACGGGNGGCAGCAGUGAGGAAUAUUGGGACAAUGGGCGC
This 349-nucleotide ribosomal RNA is filed under the name uncultured bacterium. RNAcentral's name for it is "bacterial SSU rRNA". It matches the Rfam family "Bacterial small subunit ribosomal RNA", at positions 28 to 378 of the family's 1533-position model. The record is from RNAcentral.